UGAUAAAGUUUCAGUCCAAUUGUUGAUAAGUCCAGGAUAGUGCUCGUGUAUACGUUUCUCUAUGCAAAAGCACUCAGCUUUCAUUUGGUUACCUUCCACCAAGUUUGUACUUGAUUUUCCCCCUGCAUGUUUGAUUAAUUUUGUUAGGCGGUGGAAGUAAUUACUUACUUUUCUAGCUAGAUUGUUGAACUAUGCAUUUCUAAUUACUCUAGUUUUUCCUGUUUCUCUAAACGACUUGUUAUGUUGGUGCAGGUACUCAAUCUUGCUUAUACAACUACUUUGUCAUCAAGCACAUACAACUCAGCCGCUCUAUAAAGAGCGCUCUACAAAGAGUGAAGUAAGCAUUGAAAAUUAAUUUUAAACCACGUUGGACCACUAAUAUUUUAUGGCAUGAUACAAUGUAAUAUUAGAUGACAACUUUUCUUGAUGUAGUUGCAGGGUAUGGCUACUAAAUCCGAAGGCGUAAAUAGAGCAACUUGAGCUUAUCAACGAAUAUAUAUUAUAUGUUAUUUUUUACCUCCCCCCU
RNAcentral lists this long non-coding RNA (526 nucleotides) under Salvia miltiorrhiza (redroot sage). RNAcentral's name for it is "long non-coding RNA (SMIL_LNC007920)". Lineage: Eukaryota; Viridiplantae; Streptophyta; Magnoliopsida; Lamiales; Lamiaceae. The record is from RNAcentral.